GCCGAACGCUUUCUUCGUGCCUAAUACAUGCAAGUUGAGCGCUGAAGGUUGGUACUUGUACCAACUGGAUGAGCAGCGAACGGGUGAGUAACGCGUGGGGAAUCUGCCUUUGAGCGGGGGACAACAUUUGGAAACGAAUGCUAAUACCGCAUAAAAACUUUAAACACAAGUUUUAAGUUUGAAAGAUGCAAUUGCCUCACUCAAAGAUGAUCCCGCGUUGUAUUAGCUAGUUGGUGAGGUAAAGGCUCACCACGGCGAUGAUACAUAGCCGACCUGAGAGGGUGAUCGGCCACAUUGGGACUGAGACACGGCCCAAACUCCUACGGGAGGCAGCAGUAGGGAAUCUUCGGCAAUGGACGAAAGUCUGACCGAGCAACGCCGCGUGAGUGAAGAAGGUUUUCGGAUCGUAAAACUCUGUUGGUAGAGAAGAACGUUGGUGAGAGUGGAAAGCUCAUCAAGUGACGGUAACUACCCAGAAAGGGACGGCUAACUACGUG
Molecule: ribosomal RNA, 497 nt
Filed under: uncultured bacterium
Lineage: Bacteria
Description: partial 16S ribosomal RNA
Rfam family: Bacterial small subunit ribosomal RNA
Source: RNAcentral